This 200-nucleotide long non-coding RNA is filed under the name Gossypium barbadense (sea-island cotton). RNAcentral describes it as "long non-coding RNA (GBAR_LNC010864)". The record is from RNAcentral. Lineage: Eukaryota; Viridiplantae; Streptophyta; Magnoliopsida; Malvales; Malvaceae.
CGGGGUCUCAGAGAUACUCAUCUGAACAGGCCUCAUUGCCUCAAGUCUAUUCACCUGAAUCAUCGAAGCUAGAGUAGCUAAUGCAUCAGCCAUUUGGUUUUUCUCCCGUGGGAGGUAAUAGAAGGUGAUAUCGUCAAACUCCUCAGCCAAUUCAAGAACUAGUUUUCUAUAACCGAUUAGCUUAGGAUCUCUAGUCUCCC